Molecule: long non-coding RNA, 390 nt
Filed under: Elaeis guineensis (African oil palm)
Lineage: Eukaryota; Viridiplantae; Streptophyta; Magnoliopsida; Arecales; Arecaceae
Description: long non-coding RNA (EGUI_LNC049166)
Source: RNAcentral
CUCUCAUGCGGUAAAAAUGCUGCAAAGAUGCGGUCUUGCAUCGUUUUAAAAAGGAGAUAAGAGAGGGCAUGCAUACAGAUGAUCAGAGAAAAAAGGAUGGCGUGAGAGAGGUUUCUGGCAUGAGAAAAGAAAAGAAGAGAAAAAGGGAGAGAGAAGUGGGCGCACUCUUUUCUUGUGUACCUUAGGGUUUUGGCUUAGGGUUCGGGAAGUGAGAACGUGAGCUACGAGUGUCGUGAGUCCACCAAACUUCAGGGAGAGUAUCAUCAACCUCUCUACCAUCUUUGCUGAUGAUCCGAAGCAUUCAAGAAGUUGGCAGACAUCGAUCGAAGGAGUUCGAUCAACAUCAGCCAUAAAAAAGGUACAGUCAUGAACUAGCAUUCGUGAGGAGCC